CCUACGGGUGGCAGCAGUGAGGAAUAUUGGUCAAUGGCCGGAAGGCUGAACCAGCCAUGCCGCGUGAAGGUCAGUGCCCUAUGGGCGUUAAACUUCUUUUGUGCGGGAGCAAUAAUGGUCACGUGUGGCCAGACGAGAGUACCGUACGAAUAAGCAUCGGCUAACUCCGUGCCAGCAGCCGCGGUAAUACGGGGGAUGCAAGCGUUAUCCGGAUUUAUUGGGUUUAAAGGGUGCGUUGGCUGGGAGGUAAGUCAGAGGUGAAAUGCCCCCGCUCAACGGGGUGAAGUGCCAUUGAUACUGCCUUGCUGGAAUGCGGAUGCGGUGGGAGGAAUGUGUGGUGUAGCGGUGAAAUGCAUAGAUAUCAGGCAGAACACCGAUUGCGAAGGCAGCUCACGAAUCCGCGAUUGACGCUGAUGCACGAAAGCGUGGGUAUCAAACAGGAUUAGAUACCCCUGUAGUC
This 460-nucleotide ribosomal RNA is filed under the name uncultured bacterium. RNAcentral's name for it is "partial 16S ribosomal RNA". It matches the Rfam family "Bacterial small subunit ribosomal RNA", at positions 338 to 795 of the family's 1533-position model. The record is from RNAcentral.